UGGGGAAUAUUGCACAAUGGGCGCAAGCCUGAUGCAGCCAUGCCGCGUGUAUGAAGAAGGCCUUCGGGUUGUAAAGUACUUUCAGCGGGGAGGAAGGGAGUAAAGUUAAUACCUUUGCUCAUUGACGUUACCCGCAGAAGAAGCACCGGCUAACUCCGUGCCAGCAGCCGCGGUAAUACGGAGGGUGCAAGCGUUAAUCGGAAUUACUGGGCGUAAAGCGGACGCAGGCGGUUUGUUAAGUCAGAUGUGAAAUCCCCGGGCUCAACCUGGGAACGGCAUCUGAUACUGGCAAGCUUGAGUCUCGUAGAGGGGGGUAGAAUUCCAGGUGUAGCGGUGAAAUGCGUAGAGAUCUGGAGGAAUACCGGUGGCGAAGGCGGCCCCCUGGACGAAGACUGACGCUCAGGUGCGAAAGCGUGGGGAGCAAACAGG
Molecule: ribosomal RNA, 429 nt
Filed under: Chloroflexota bacterium
Lineage: Bacteria; Bacillati; Chloroflexota
Description: Chloroflexi bacterium partial 16S ribosomal RNA
Rfam family: Bacterial small subunit ribosomal RNA
Source: RNAcentral